This 375-nucleotide unclassified non-coding RNA is filed under the name soil metagenome. RNAcentral describes it as "partial contains 5.8S ribosomal RNA, internal transcribed spacer 2, and large subunit ribosomal RNA". The stretch from base 1 to 120 matches the Rfam family "5.8S ribosomal RNA", at positions 35 to 154 of the family's 154-position model. The record is from RNAcentral.
GAUGAAGAACGCAGCGAAAUGCGAUAAGUAAUGUGAAUUGCAGAAUUCAGUGAAUCAUCGAAUCUUUGAACGCACAUUGCGCCCGCCAGUAUUCUGGCGGGCAUGCCUGUUCGAGCGUCAUUUCAACCCUCAAGACCCCUUCGGGGGACUUGGUGUUGGGGACCGGCACAGGGGCCUGCCUGCUUGUCUUGCAGCGCCCUCGCCGCCCCCGAAAUGAAUUGGCGGCCUCGUCGCGGCUUCCCCUGCGUAGUAGCACAAACCUCGCAACGGGAACGUGACGGCGGCCACUGCCGUAAAACAACCCAAUUUUAUUAGAGUUGACCUCGAAUCAGGUAGGAAUACCCGCUGAACUUAAGCAUAUCAAUAAGCGGAGGA